GCUCGGCUACCUCAGUCGGUAGAGCAUGAGACUCUUAAUCUCAGGGUCGUGGGUUCGAGGCCCACGCUGGGCG
Molecule: transfer RNA, 73 nt
Filed under: Blattella germanica (German cockroach)
Lineage: Eukaryota; Metazoa; Arthropoda; Insecta; Blattodea; Blattellidae
Description: tRNA-Lys (CTT) (tRNA-Lys-CTT-25-1)
Rfam family: tRNA
About the family: Transfer RNA (tRNA) molecules are approximately 80 nucleotides in length. Their secondary structure includes four short double-helical elements and three loops (D, anti-codon, and T loops). Further hydrogen bonds mediate the characteristic L-shaped molecular structure. tRNAs have two regions of fundamental functional importance: the anti-codon, which is responsible for specific mRNA codon recognition, and the 3' end, to which the tRNAs corresponding amino acid is attached (by aminoacyl-tRNA synthetases). tRNAs cope with the degeneracy of the genetic code in two manners: having more than one tRNA (with a specific anti-codon) for a particular amino acid; and 'wobble' base-pairing, i.e. permitting non-standard base-pairing at the 3rd anti-codon position.
Source: RNAcentral